GUAUCCUGCUGGACUAUAUGCCCUUUAAAGCAAGUAGAGCACAUUACUCAUCACUCAAUCUCCAGGACCAAGUUAAUGUUCUGUAUAUAGUAAUGUCGACAGCAACAUCUCCCCCAGGUGUAACAACUAAACGUGUCUCCAGACAUUGGCAAAUAUCCUUGGGCCAUGGAGAAAACAUCACCUUCAAUUGAAAACCACUGGGCCACUCUAAUGCCUUCAAGGAAGCCAAGAGUCUCAGGCCCUUCGCCCUUGCUUCUCAGAAAAGAACAGCUAACCAUUGCCAACCAGAAUGCAUAGAAACUGAACUACUUCUGUGUCUGCAAUUGUCAUCUUGGACAAAUUACCUAAACUGCUUGGGCUGAGAUAUGUGAAUUCAGAUAUUGAAGCUUAUUUAUACCUUCAUAAUUCUAUGCUUCCAUAAUGAUUAAAUCCACCAUAGUAAUAAAUAAAGGCCUUAACCACAUGAAGAAA
This 471-nucleotide long non-coding RNA is filed under the name Homo sapiens (human). RNAcentral describes it as "HSALNT0336482". Lineage: Eukaryota; Metazoa; Chordata; Mammalia; Primates; Hominidae. The record is from RNAcentral.